This 618-nucleotide ribosomal RNA is filed under the name uncultured bacterium. Its description in RNAcentral is "bacterial SSU rRNA". It matches the Rfam family "Bacterial small subunit ribosomal RNA", at positions 250 to 882 of the family's 1533-position model. The record is from RNAcentral.
UGGUGGGGUAACGGCCUACCAAGUUUACGAUCAGUAGCCGGACUGAGAGGUUGAACGGCCACAUUGGGACUGAGAUACGGCCCAGACUCCUACGGGAGGCAGCAGUGGGGAAUAUUGCACAAUGGGGGAAACCCUGAUGCAGCAACGCCGCGUGAAGGACGACGGUUUUCGGAUUGUAAACUUCUUUUCUUAGUGACGAAGAAAGUGACGGUAGCUAAGGAAUAAGCAUCGGCUAACUACGUGCCAGCAGCCGCGGUAAUACGUAGGAUGCAAGCGUUAUCCGGAUUUACUGGGUGUAAAGGGAGCGCAGGCGGGACUGCAAGUUGGAUGUGAAAUACCGUGGCUUAACCACGGAACUGCAUCCAAAACUGUAGUUCUUGAGUGAAGUAGAGGCAAGCGGAAUUCCGAGUGUAGCGGUGAAAUGCGUAGAUAUUCGGAGGAACACCAGUGGCGAAGGCGGCUUGCUGGGCUUUAACUGACGCUGAGGCUCGAAAGUGUGGGGAGCAAACAGGAUUAGAUACCCUGGUAGUCCACACUGUAAACGAUGAUAGCUAGGUGUGGGGGGUCUGACCCCUUCCGUGCCGGAGUUAACGCAAUAAGCUAUCCACCUGGGGAGUA